RNAcentral lists this non-coding RNA (948 nucleotides) under Hasemania nana. Its description in RNAcentral is "12S ribosomal RNA". It matches the Rfam family "Bacterial small subunit ribosomal RNA". Lineage: Eukaryota; Metazoa; Chordata; Actinopteri; Characiformes; Acestrorhamphidae. The record is from RNAcentral.
CAAAGGUAUGGUCCCUAGCUUACUAUCAGCUCUAGCUCAACUUACACAUGCGAGUCUCCGCAGCCCAGUGAAUACGCCCUCGACACCCGUUCGGCAGAUGAGGAGCAGACAUCAGGCACAAGUAUUAGCCCAAGACGUCCAGCUAAGCCACACCCCCGAGGGUAUUCAGCAGUGAUAAACAUUAAGCAAUAAGUGAAAACUUGACUUAAUUAGUGUUAUUUAGGGCCGGUAAAUACUCGUGCCAGCCACCGCGGUUAUACAAGAGACCCUAGUUGAUAGCUACGGCGUAAAGAGUGGUUAGGAAUAUAAAACAAAUAAAGUCAAACAACCUCCUCGCAGUUAUAAGCAUUUUGAGAGCAUGAAGCCCUAUUACGAAAGUAACUUUAUUACCUCCGACCCCACGAAAGCUGAGAAACAAACUGGGAUUAGAUACCCCACUAUGCUCAGUCUUAAACUUACAUGUUUACACUACAAAAACAUCCGCCAGGGUACUACAAGCGCUAGCUUAAAACCCAAAGGACUUGACGGUGUCUCAGAACCAUCUAGAGGAGCCUGUCCUAGAACCGAUAUUCCCCGUUUAACCUCACCACCCCUUGCCAUUUCAGCCUAUAUACCGCCGUCGCAAGCUUACCCUGUGAAGGGAAAAAAGUAAGCAAAAUGGGUUUUCCCCAGAACGUCAGGUCAAGGUGUACCCUACCAGGUGGGAAGAGAUUGGCUACAUUUUCUUCAUCAUAAUAUACGAACGGAACUGUGAAAUCAGAUCCUGAAGGUGGAUUUAGUAGUAAAAAUCAAGUAGAGAGUCAUUUUGAAACAGGCUCUGAGACGCGUACACACCGCCCGUCACCCUCCCCAACCUUUAACCUAAAACACGUAAUUAACCAAACAAUUAUUACCACGGGGAGAUAAGUCGUAACAAGGUAAGUGUACCGGAAGGUGCACUUGGAACAU